AGACCCGAAACCCGGUGAUCUAGCCAUGGGCAGGUUGAAGGUUGGGUAACACUAACUGGAGGACCGAACCGACUAAUGUUGAAAAAUUAGCGGAUGACCUGUGGCUGGGGGUGAAAGGCCAAUCAAACCGGGAGAUAGCUGGUUCUCCCCGAAAGCUAUUUAGGUAGCGCCUCGUGAAUUCAUCUCCGGGGGUAGAGCACUGUUUCGGCUAGGGGGCCAUCCCGGCUUACCAACCCGAUGCAAACUGCGAAUACCGGAGAAUGUUAUCACGGGAGACACACGGCGGGUGCUAACGUCCGUCGUGAAGAGGGAAACAACCCAGACCGCCAGCUAAGGUCCCAAAGUCAUAGUUAAGUGGGAAACGAUGUGGGAAGGCCCAGACAGCCAGGAUGUUGGCUUAGAAGCAGCCAUCAUUUAAAGAAAGCGUAAUAGCUCACUGGUCGAGUCGGCCUGCGCGGAAGAUGUAACGGGGCUAAACUAUGCACCGAAGCUGCGGCAGCGACACUAUGUGUUGUUGGGUAGGGGAGCGUUCUGUAAGCC
This 540-nucleotide ribosomal RNA is filed under the name Salmonella enterica. RNAcentral describes it as "partial 23S ribosomal RNA". It matches the Rfam family "Bacterial large subunit ribosomal RNA", at positions 711 to 1249 of the family's 2925-position model. Lineage: Bacteria; Pseudomonadati; Pseudomonadota; Gammaproteobacteria; Enterobacterales; Enterobacteriaceae. The record is from RNAcentral.